Molecule: ribosomal RNA, 253 nt
Filed under: uncultured bacterium
Lineage: Bacteria
Description: partial 16S ribosomal RNA
Rfam family: Bacterial small subunit ribosomal RNA
Source: RNAcentral
UACGGGGGGGGUAAGCGUUGUUCGGAAUUACUGGGCGUAAAGGGCUCGUAGGCGGCCAACUAAGUCGGACGUGAAAUCCCUCAGCUUAACUGGGGAACUGCGUCCGAUACUGGAUGGCUUGGAUUUGGGAGAGGGAUGCGGAAUUCCAGGUGUAGCGGUGAAAUGCGUAGAUAUCUGGAGGAACACCGGUGGCGAAGGCGGCAUUCUGGACCGACAUUGACGCUGAGGAGCGAAAGCCAGGGGAGCAAACGGG